This 441-nucleotide ribosomal RNA is filed under the name uncultured bacterium. RNAcentral's name for it is "partial 16S ribosomal RNA". It matches the Rfam family "Bacterial small subunit ribosomal RNA", at positions 338 to 795 of the family's 1533-position model. The record is from RNAcentral.
CCUACGGGUGGCAGCAGUGGGGGAUAUUGCACAAUGGGGGGAACCCUGAUGCAGCGACGCCGCGUGGGUGAAGGAGUGCUUCGGCAUGUAAAGCUCUAUUGGUAGGGAAGUAGCAAGACGGUACCUGACUAAGAAGCCUCGGCUAACUACGUGCCAGCAGCCGCGGUAAUACGGAGGGGGCGAGCGUUAUCCGGAUUCACUGGGUGUAAAGGGAGCGUAGACGGUCAUGCAAGCCAGGGGUGAAAGCCCGGGGCCCAACCCCGGGACUGCCGUUGGAACUGCAUGGCUGGAGUGCAGGAGGGGCAGGCGGAAUUCGUGGUGUAGCGGUGAAAUGCGUAGAUAUACGGAAGAACACCAGUGGCGAAGGCAGAUUGCUGGACAGUAACUGACGCUGAGGCGCGAAAGCGUGGGGAGCAAACAGGAUUAGAUACCCCAGUAGUC